This 89-nucleotide transfer RNA is filed under the name Streptomyces sp. CA-256286. RNAcentral describes it as "tRNA-Gln". Lineage: Bacteria; Bacillati; Actinomycetota; Actinomycetes; Kitasatosporales; Streptomycetaceae. The record is from RNAcentral.
CACCGCCGGGGGCGCGGGCCACGGCGUGCUGCUCGCCGCGACGGGGAUCGUCACGGCGGUGCCGCUGAUCUGCUUCGGCGCGGCGGCGA